GAUGAACGCUGGCGGCGUGGAUAAGGCAUGCAAGUCGAACGGAACUAAUCACACGGAAGUUUAAAACAAGUUGAAAUGGAAUUUGAGUAGCAAUACAAUUACGAAGUUUCAAUAAGUUUUUUUCGGAAGAGUGACAGUUUAGUGGCAGACGAGGUAGGAAUAUAUAGGAACAUCCCCCAAGGUCAGGAAUAACUAGUCGAAAGAUUAGCUAAUACUUGAUAUAUCGCAAGAUGAAAGAUUUAUCGCCAUGGGAUUGGCCUAUACGGUAUCAGGUAGUUGGUAGGGUAAAAGCCUACCAAGCCUAUGACGCCUAGGAGAGCUGAGAGGCUGACCUCCACCGAUGGAACUGAGACACGGUCCAUACACCUACGGGUGGCUGCAGUCGAGAAUAUUUCACAAUGGACGAAAGUCUGAUGAAGCGACGCCGCGUGUACGAUGAAGGGCUUCGGUCCGUAAAGUACUUUUAUGUUGGAAAAACGAUGAUUGUACAACAUGAAUAAGGGGUUGCUAACUCUGUG
This 518-nucleotide ribosomal RNA is filed under the name uncultured organism. RNAcentral's name for it is "bacterial SSU rRNA". It matches the Rfam family "Bacterial small subunit ribosomal RNA", at positions 28 to 507 of the family's 1533-position model. The record is from RNAcentral.